Molecule: ribosomal RNA, 595 nt
Filed under: Didymella microchlamydospora
Lineage: Eukaryota; Fungi; Ascomycota; Dothideomycetes; Pleosporales; Didymellaceae
Description: eukaryotic LSU rRNA
Rfam family: Eukaryotic large subunit ribosomal RNA
Source: RNAcentral
UUGACCUCGGAUCAGGUAGGGAUACCCGCUGAACUUAAGCAUAUCAAUAAGCGGAGGAAAAGAAACCAACAGGGAUUGCCCUAGUAACGGCGAGUGAAGCGGCAACAGCUCAAAUUUGAAAUCUGGCGUCUUUGGCGUCCGAGUUGUAAUUUGCAGAGGGCGCUUUGGCAUUGGCAGCGGUCCAAGUUCCUUGGAACAGGACGUCACAGAGGGUGAGAAUCCCGUACGUGGUCGCUAGCCUUUACCGUGUAAAGCCCCUUCGACGAGUCGAGUUGUUUGGGAAUGCAGCUCUAAAUGGGAGGUAAAUUUCUUCUAAAGCUAAAUACUGGCCAGAGACCGAUAGCGCACAAGUAGAGUGAUCGAAAGAUGAAAAGCACUUUGGAAAGAGAGUUAAAAAGCACGUGAAAUUGUUGAAAGGGAAGCGCUUGCAGCCAGACUUGCCUGUAGUUGCUCAUCCGGGUUUCUACCCGGUGCACUCUUCUAUAGGCAGGCCAGCAUCAGUUUGGGCGGUUGGAUAAAGGUCUCUGUCAUGUACCUCUCUUCGGGGAGAACUUAUAGGGGAGACGACAUGCAACCAGCCUGGACUGAGGUCCGC